This is a long non-coding RNA of Salvia miltiorrhiza (redroot sage), 1335 nucleotides long. RefSeq lists it as uncharacterized. The transcript has 3 exons. The record is from RefSeq and is a predicted model, not a curated record. Lineage: Eukaryota; Viridiplantae; Streptophyta; Magnoliopsida; Lamiales; Lamiaceae.
UCAUUUUCCUCACACUCCAAACUAACCAUCACCCUUUACUCUCCACCAACUAAGAUAUCAAAACAUUCUCUGCAAAAUCAAUCCAUCCUUCUUCAUUUUUCACAAAUUCAUUCAAUAAAUUAUCACUUCAUUUCGCAAGCAAGAGAAGUUUCAAGUGCUGAGCUAAUUCAAGCCUCCACCAAAUUUCAAGCAAACCAACCAUCAGCAUACCUUCAAAAGGCUUUGUGGACCAAGGGGAUUAGCGUUGCUUUCCCAAGACGAGUUUACGUGUUUAUGAUCUUCAGACUUUGCCUAUCCAGGUGAGCUUACUUUCCAAAUGUAUAAAGUAUGAUUGAGUUAUUAAGCUAUAAAUGUUUCAAUGAAUUGCAAACUGUUUAUUUAAUGAAAUGCAAAUUAUUUAUCCAAUAAAAUGUUAUGUGCACUCUGCUCUGUUUAAGGCUCGCAAAGUUAAUCAAUUGAGGUUCUCUUAUAACCUAACACGUUGUUUGAGAAUUGUGUGCACUUGUUAGCUGACUCGGUGGGUUGAUCUCCAUCGGGCACUAACCAGAUGCGUUAUAAGGGUGCUUGCUGGAUGUGUUCCGGAGCAUGUAAAGUAAGGCCUGCCAGGGUAGCGUCCCGAGGUCAAAUGAAACUUGACUGGGUUACGCCCUCAGUUCAAGUAAAUGGGAGAAAUGGAUUCAACAAUGGCUAAAAGGUCCGGGAUCACAGCGAGUAACAGAAAGGGUUGGUUGGCUGGCCAGUGCUGACGGGACGGAGCUGAGGCUAAGGCUCAAAAUUCUAUUAAGACUUCGUUGUAGUACUAGCUUUUAAUUGUCUUCUGUUUUCUCAACUUAAUACUUUCAUGUUUUUUUUUUUAUCAUGCAAAGUAAUUUUUUUAUAUAUAAAUUCAAGGUACCAGAGGUACCGUACGAAACAAAGGAAAACCAAAUAAAGAAAAGAACAACAAAUGAGUAGAAAACUCAAAACCAAAGAGAGAGCAAAACAACAAAAGGGCAGAAAGCUCACAGCCUCAGAAGCAGAUCAAAAGCGAAGCAUCCUAAGCAUUAAGUCUGGCCACGGCAAUCCAACUUCGAAACUCACUAACCGAAGUCGGCAGCUUGAAUGCCAUUCUCCACCCCCACAAUCUGGAUUUGAUCUCGGUAAUACUUUCAUGUUAAAUUUCAAAUGAUAUCCCUGAUCGAGUUUAGACUCUUAACUCCUAGAUUUAUGCUAAUGAAUGUCGGUUGUCAGAAGCAUGAAACAAAACUUGUGAUCCAAAGGGGACUAGCCCGACUUGUUAUCUUAUUAUUCGGGUUCAAUAAGGAUUUUUCCUUAUGUUAUUUCUAUAAAACGGUU